AUUGAACGCUGGCGGAAUGCUUUACACAUGUAAGUCGAACGGCAGCACGGACUUCGGUCUGGUGGCGAGUGGCGAACGGGUGAGUAACAUAUCGGAACGUAUCCAAUAAUGGGGGAUAACGAGUCGAAAGAUUCGCUAAUACCGCAUACGCCCUACGGGGGAAAGCUGGGGACCUUCGGGCCUGGCGUUAAUGGAGCGGCCGAUAUCUGAUUAGCUAGUUGGUGAGGUAAAGGCCCACCAAGGCGACGAUCAGUAGCUGGUCUGAGAGGACGACCAGCCACACUGGAACUGAGACACGGUCCAGACUCCUACGGGAGGCAGCAGUGGGGAAUUUUGGACAAUGGGCGCAAGCCUGAUCCAGCCAUUCCGCGUGAGUGAAGAAGGCCUUCGGGUUGUAAAGCUCUUUCGCAAGGGAAGAAAACUUAGCCACUAACAUUGGUUGAGGUUGACGGUACCUUGAUAAGAAGCACCGGCUAACUACGUGCCAGCAGCCGCCGCCG
Molecule: ribosomal RNA, 500 nt
Filed under: uncultured bacterium
Lineage: Bacteria
Description: partial 16S ribosomal RNA
Rfam family: Bacterial small subunit ribosomal RNA
Source: RNAcentral